Molecule: ribosomal RNA, 634 nt
Filed under: uncultured eukaryote
Lineage: Eukaryota
Description: SSU rRNA
Rfam family: Eukaryotic small subunit ribosomal RNA
Source: RNAcentral
AGCAGCCGCGGUAAUUCCAGCUCCAAUAGCGUAUAUUUAAGUUGUUGCAGUUAAAAAGCUCGUAGUUGGAUUUCGGACGGGGACGACCGGUCCGCCGAACGGUGUGCACUGGUCGGUCCCGUCUUCCUGCCGAGGACGCGUUCCCUUCCUUCGUUGGUCGGGACGCGGAGUCGGCGCAGUUACUUUGAAAAAAUUAGAGUGUUCAAAGCAAGCUUCACGCUGUGAAUACUAUAGCAUGGAAUAACGCGAUAGGACUCCGUGCCUAUUGUGUGGGUCUUCGGGACCGGAGUAAUGAUUAAUAGGGACAGUUGGGGGCAUUCGUAUUUCAUUGUCAGAGGUGAAAUUCUUGGAUUUAUGAAAGACGAACUUCUGCGAAAGCAUUUGCCAAGGAUGUUUUCAUUAAUCAAGAACGAAAGUUGGGGGCUCGAAGAUGAUUAGAUACCAUCCUAGUCUCAACCAUAAACGAUGCCGACUAGGGAUUGGCGGAUGUUCGUUCGAUGACUCCGCCAGCACCUUAUGAGAAAUCAAAGUUUUUGGGUUCCGGGGGGAGUAUGGUCGCAAGGCUGAAACUUAAAGGAAUUGACGGAACGGCACCACCAGGCGUGGAGCCUGCGGCUUAAUUUGACUCAACACG